This is an RNA transcript of Salvelinus fontinalis (brook trout), 7318 nucleotides long. RefSeq lists it as uncharacterized. Lineage: Eukaryota; Metazoa; Chordata; Actinopteri; Salmoniformes; Salmonidae. The record is from RefSeq and is a predicted model, not a curated record. The transcript has 2 exons.
AAAAGGCCCAUGGAGUUGGUGGAAUAAUCCUUUAAUUCAUGGCCACUUACUCAGCUGGGCCAGAGCGCUUUAAUUAGGUCAGGUGGCAAUGACCGACAGAUCUCAUCCACAUAAAAGGAGGAAAACGGCAUCGCCUGAUCUCGCUGCUUUCUCUUCCUUAACUCCGUCUGCUCCAGAAGUUCUGUGCGUCCAUGAAUCCACGUAAGUCCACCGACUCUGUUACCUUUCAUCUGAACUAUCUGUUGCGAGCGGGAGAGUGGGCUAUCAGUUAUUGUUUAUAGUUGUUAUCGCGGAGCGCGGCUAGGAGUGCACGCUUCAAACAUAUUGUGUAAUGUGAAUUGUAAAUGAUCAUACGGAUCCUCAUAGGCCAAUUAUGCAAUCGAUAUGUUUAAUAUGUAAUUAAAUUAAUUCCAUGUACACAUGAAGACCAAUUGAAAGGAUGAAAUGAGAAAUGUCAUUGUUUGCUAACUGAUCGACUUUGAUAUCAAACUAAAGGAGAUUAUAGAUUGAAUGACCAUUCACUGUUUGUAUUUAUUUCAUGAUUUAUGUGAAAUAGUUAAGAGCCUAAAUGACUCACAGGUGAUUACUAUUGACUUCUUAAUUAACUGGAUUCAUGAAUUCCCUAAUUAUGUUAAUAAUGAAUGAUUGUUAUGAUUUGAUCUUUGUGAUUAUGAAUUUGAUUGGAUACGUGUUAUUUUGUUUCCUUUGUUAUGCAGCACAGACUACUCAGUAAAUAUACCACUUUAUGGUUAAAGGAAUUCCUGCCUCAGUCUCAUCCAUUCUUCUGUCACCUGACACGUGACCACCUGUUCACCUUCACUGUCAGUCAUCCUACCUGUCCAGCUACCCACAUAGAUUCCACUAAUCUUUCAAUGGUCCUUCGAGACGGAUGAUGACUGAACCAAAGACAGGUGAAAUGGAGGAGGAGAGGGAAGAAUUGUCUCCACUGGAGGGAAGAGAGGAGGAGAGGGCAGCUGAGGGAAAGGUCUUGGAACAAAGGAAAUAUCCAGGAGCUAAGCCUAAAGCAACAAAGGCUUCAUCCUCAACCACCAGCAGCACUAGAAGAACCAGGCAAGCACCUGGUUAUCUUAAGGAUUAUGUGGUCGAGAUUUCGACAUCAAAGGGCAAGCCCACUAAAGCUCAAGGUGAUGAUGGAUCAACUGUACGUUUCAGCCAUCAACCAUCUCCUCUGAGUCAAGCACCGGAAACUGCGUUGGAGCAGGAAAGUGGUCUACAGGAAGAACCCAUGGAGGUGACUCCCACAGCACAGGUCAACCAGCUUCCUGAGGCAGGCUCCGCUCACUCCUUAACUAAAGGGAAAUCGUCGAGGCACUCUAGACGGAGUGGGAGUUCGACCAGUGGAUACCCCUUUGGAAGUGGCCAUGGCAGCCGCCAUUCACUAGCCCUCAGCGAUUCACAGACCGCUGUCCUACAAGAGAGGAUGAAACUAUUAGCUUUGGAGGAAAUUGAGCGUCAGAUUGAGGAGGAACGACAGGCUGAUGAACGAUGUCAUCUAUUGGAUGUGCAGGCCCGUAGUGCUCUACAGGAACGGGAAUUCAUUGCCAAGGACCUGGCACAACAGCGACGGCACCGUCAAGCCAGAAGGGAAUUGGAGGAGGCACGGAUGGUCUCAUCCUUCCUGGAGAGGAACGAACAGGGAGUUGACCUGACCACCCCUCCACAUGGACCUGACCUGUCUGCCUUUCUUUCCCAAUCUGCCCCUCUGGUACAGCAUGGCACACAGGCUCCGGGGUCAACAGCCAACAUGGAGCACGGGGGACAGGCCGCUCCACCAACGCCCUCUAGGCCAGUGACAGAAGUUAGCAUUCCUCCAUGUGGACAAAGCAUCACUCCUUCGCCUUUCCGCCAAUUACCAACCACGGCAAAUCGUUCCUCUCGUCCAGGGCCAGGCCAGUCCUCAAACAUCAGGUGGAAGGGCUCUCACCCAAUUCCGUCUGCCACCAAUGGAGGGUCUGGGACAGUAGGGGACCGGCCCAAUGAGGUCACAGUGGGCUCAUCAGAAGUCCCGGGUUCAUCUUUCACGCAACCAGAAGAGGGAGCCAAUAUUAUGAAACUUCUAGUAGCCUCAGCCUAUGGAAUUCCCAGACCCAAACUGCCAUACUUUGAGAGCGGAAAGGAGAGUGAAUUUGUCCUUUUGGAAAUGGCAUUGGAGAGCCUACUGGGUAUUCACAGUCAUCUCUCAGAACGCUACAAAUACCAAGUACUAAUGGAUCAUUUGCGGUUUCCUAGUGCAUACAGGCUGGCCCAAUCUUUUAUGCACUCCGCAACACCAUACACUGCAGCUCUCCAGGCCCUGAAGGCGAGAUAUGGUGAGCCACGCCAGUUGGUCCAGAAUGAACUAAGCAACAUCCUGAACACGUCUCCAAUUAAAAUGGGAGACCAUGCUGCCUUCCAAGAGUUCUCCCUGGCUGUCCAAUCCCUGACCUCAAUGCUCCAAUCCGUUGAAGGAGAAGAUGGGAACGAGCUGAAAUGUGGCUCCCACGUGGACAGGCUUCUUAGCAAGCUUCCAGUGUACCUCAGAGACAGUUUCAUUGAACAUUGUUUGAACAGGGGCAUCCUGAAAGAGGGCUCGAGAAGCACCUAUGCACUCAGAGACCUGGCCGCAUGGUUGGAGGUGAAGGCCAAGGCGAAGAGUAUCGCUCACCAGGCCACAAUCUCAGCCAUAGCCACCGGGGGAAGGAAGGAGUUUGAACGCCAGGGGGGACAGAAAAGACCAAAUCCCACUACCAUGUACUUAAAUAGUGAAGCUGGGGAGGAACCCGGGAAGACCCCUCUCAGGAGCAAGAACAUCAAAUUCCAGCCUUACUGCCCAUAUUGCAAUAGUAAGGGACACUUCCUUGGCUCAUGCCCCAGGGUAAAAAAGCUCACCCAAACUCAAUUGAAGGCCUGGAUCACUUCAGGCGAGCGAUGCUACAAGUGUGCCCGUAGCCAUAAGGCGGAGACCUGCACAUUGAGGAAACCCUGCAAUCGCUGUAAGGAAAUCCAUCUCACAGUGUUGCAUGAUGUAAUUCCCCAAGCACAGAAGGAGCAGAGUAUGCUCAUGGUAGGAGCUGCAAAGGAGCUGUACCUCGACCAGCAGAACCGGUCUCCAAGGGUCAUGUUGAAAGUGGUCAAGGUCACUCUGCAAAGUGAAGGGAGAAGCAUUGAUACAUUCGCCGUUCUAGAUGAUGGGUCAGAAAGAACGAUCAUUCUCACGGCGGCCACCCGUCAGCUAAACCUGGAGGGGACUCCCGAGACCCUUAACCUCAGAACGGUGCGACAUGAUGUUAUCCAAAUGAAAGGCUCUGCUGUGACCUUUAGCAUUUCACCUUCAGGAAACCGGGACGUGGCCUAUAAUAUCACCAAUGCCUUCACGGCAGAUGGCUUGAAUCUUGCGGAGCACUCCUGCCCGGUAAGUGUUCUCCAGAGACAAUAUCCUCAUCUACGAGGAUUACCUCUUCCUAACUUGGCCAGAGUAGCGCCACUUAUCCUGAUUGGGUCAGACCACCCACAUCUCGUCACCCCGACUGAGCCUAUACGAGCUGGACCAGAAGGAGGUCCCAUUGCUGUCCAUACAGCCUUGGGUUGGGCUGUGCAAGGUCCAGUCCAUCUACUUCUCUCCACCCAAGCUGUACAGUCACAGCAAGUCCUCUUCACCAGAAGCAAUCCAGCUCCAUUCCCCUGUGCGGCCACUGACCUCCUUCGGAAUGUAGAGAUGCUCUGGAAGAUGGACACCUUCUCCAACCGGAAGCUACAGGAGGUCACCCGCUCGAAACAUGACUCCUAUGCAUUAGACCUCCUGGAGAAGCGCACCACUACCACUGAACUGGAUGGCGUUCAGAGGUACGCAACCCCACUGCUACGGGUGCCCAACCAUCCUCUUCUGGCAACCACAACCCGGGCUGUACUCCCACUACUGCGUGGAACGGAGAGACGCCUGUUGAAGAAUCCUGAGCUUGCUGAAGUUCAUAACCGGGAGAUUCAGAACCUUGUGAAGGCAGGCUAUGUCACAAAAGUGACCGCUCAUGAAGAGGGAAACCCACUCAGCGAAUCCUGGUAUCUCCCUCACCAUGUUAUCCAGCAACACGGUGGGAAGUACAGACUUGUCUUCAACUGUUCAUUCCAAGCUGCUGGUCAAAGCCUGAAUGACUGUCUACUCCCGGGACCAACCUUAGGUCCUUCCUUGCUCGGUGUCCUUCUCCGGUUCCGGCAGCACUCUACAGCCAUCAGUGGAGACAUCAAAGCCAUGUUUCAUCAGAUUCGUCUCCUGCCUUCCGACACCACACUGCUCCGGUUCAUAUGGCGAGAUAUGGAACGAGACGCAGAGCCCACCAUCUAUGAAUGGCAAGUACUCCCAUUUGGCACCACCUGCAGUCCUUGCUGUGCCAUAUACGCUCUGCAGAGACACGCACGGGAGCACCCAGACAGUGACCCAGAAGUAUGGGAUUCAGUGGAAAAUGCCUUCUAUGUGGAUAACUGCUUACAGAGCAUCCCAUCCACGGCUGAAGCGAAAGCACUCCUCGAUAAAGUACGGAAUCUCCUGUCCAAAGGGGGAUUCGAGGUCCGACAGUGGGCGAGUAACAGAGCGGAGGUUAUCCAGCACCUCCCACCACAAGCUAGGUCAAGUAGCAGUGAACUCUGGCUAUCGCAGUCUGGUGCUAACCCACAAGAGCCCACUCUAGGACUGAGAUGGAGCUGCAUACCGGAUACCCUUGGGUACAAGCACCGCUCAGCCCUGAGUACCGAAACCCCCACUCUGCGCACCAUCUAUCGGACACUGGCCAGUCAAUACGAUCCCCUUGGGUAUAUCCUGCCAUACACAACCCGGGCCAAAGUCUUAGUCCAGGACCUGUGGCAGACCAAGAGGGACUGGGAUGAACCGAUCCAUCCGGCUGACCUAGUGGAACGAUGGUUCUGUUGGGAAACAGAGUUAUCGGAGCUCUCUGGAGUCCAAAUGCCAAGAUGUUAUGUACCACCCUGUGCUGACCAAGUGGGAUCAUGCCUGGAAUUGCAUGUGUUCUGUGACGCUUCGGAGCGAGCUUAUGGGGCGGUUUCCUAUCUAAGAGUGGAAGAUAAGGAAGGACACACCCAUGUCUCCUUUGUCAUGGCCAGGUCCAGGGUCGCACCCAAGAAGCAGUUGUCAAUGCCUAGGCUGGAACUCAGUGCUGCCCUUUCCGGAGCCCAGUUGGCCUCUACCUUGCGAGCCGAGCUCACCUUGCCAAUCCAGAGGGUCAUCUACUGGAGUGAUUCGACCACUGUAUUGACCUGGCUCACAUCGGAGUCCUGCAGGUAUAAGGUGUUUGUCGGAACUCGCGUUGCGGAAAUCCAAGACCUGACAGAAGUCCAAGACUGGAGGUAUGUUGAUAGCAUAAACAAUCCUGCUGAUGACGUUACUCGCGGUAAAACCCUUAAGGAACUGGCUCAACCCCAUCGCUGGAGCUUGGGACCACCAUUCUUGUCCCAACCAGAGAACGAGUGGCCAAAAGCCCCCAGGCGUGCGGCUCCUCCGCAACCAAUUGAAACUCAUGAGUUAAGGAAGUCCGCCCAAUGUUACAGCAUCUCUACGGAACCAACAACAGCUCUCCCUGACCUAGCACAAUCCCAAACACUGCCGGAUCUGAUCGCCGCCAUAAACCAGACCUCAGAUGGGGUGGCUUCUAUACCCACCUCCCUCGCGGCAGAGACAUUACUCCUCCAGCAUGCACAAGCAGUUAGCUUCCCUGAGGAGCUAAAAGCUCUGAAAGCUGGUAGGGAAGUUGCUAAGGAGAGCCGUCUUCUCUCUCUCGCCCCAGAAUAUGAUCAAAUCCUUGGAGUGAUCAGAGUCGGAGGGAGGCUGCGCCGAGCAGAAGUUUUGGACCCCGACGCUAUCCACCCAAUUAUCCUUGACUCCAGACACCCUCUUACCAGGCUCCUCAUCAAGAGUUAUGAUGAAAAGCUUCUCCACCCAGGGCCAGAGAGGGUCUAUGGGGAGAUGAGGCGGAAGUACUGGAUACUUGGAGGACGAGGAGCCAUUCGUAAGCACCAAUACGCCUGCGUAGAAUGUCAGAGAUGGCGGGCUGGAGCCACUGUACCCAAAAUGGCAGAUUUACCCCCUGCUCGCUUGCGCCUUCUCAAACCACCCUUCUGGUCAACCGGAGUAGAUUGCUUUGGCCCCUUGACGAUCAAGCUAGGUCGUCGAGUGGAAAAGCGCUGGGGCAUUCUAUUCAAGUGUUUGACGACUAGGUGUGUCCACCUGGACCUACUGGAGAGUUUGGAUACUGAAGCCUUCCUCAUGGCCCUACGGCGGUUUAUCUCCCGACGGGGGAAACCCUACGAGAUCCUGGCUGACAGAGGCACAAACUUCAAGGCAGGAGAAGCCAGGUUGGAGGAAGCUUUCCAAGCCAUGGAACCCAGCCUUCAGGAUCAGCUGAUGGACCAACAAAUCUUAUUCAAAUUUAACCCUCCAGGAGCUCCUCAUUUUGGAGGAACAUGGGAGCGAGAGAUCAAAUCUGUAAAGACGGCCUUACGUGUCGUCCUGGGGGACCAAACUGUCACUGAAACUGUCUUGCGGACCGUCCUGAUAGAGGUGGAAGGGAUAUUGAACUCCAAACCCUUGGGAUAUCUCUCUGCAGAUAUCGCUGACCCCGAUCCGGUUACACCAAAUAUGCUCUUGAUGGGACGCCGGGAUGCGUCACUUCCUCAAGCCAUGUAUGCUGAUACCAACCUCGUUGGCAGACGCCGGUGGCGACACAGCCAGAUCUUGGCUGACCAUUUCUGGGCCCGAUUCAUUCGGGAUUACCUACCAAGCCUACAGCACAGAGGGAAAUGGCGGAGGGAAAUGGCCAGCCUGGAAACUGGCCAAGUAGUAAUGGUGGUGGACCCUCAGCUGCCUCGAGCCUCCUGGCCGGUGGGACGUAUCACUAAGACCAUGCCUGGGAUCGAUGGUCGCGUUAGAUCAGUAGAGAUCCAGGUAAAGAACCGAACAUAUAUUAGGCCAGUUGCUCGACUAAUUCCUCUCCCUGAGAUGACGGAGGACGGGGAGCAAUGAGCCUUUCUGAGGAGUGUGGAAUUUAACAAAUUUCCAGGGUGGCUGUAGAAAAGGCCCAUGGAGUUGGUGGAAUAAUCCUUUAAUUCAUGGCCACUUACUCAGCUGGGCCAGAGCGCUUUAAUUAGGUCAGGUGGCAAUGACCGACAGAUCUCAUCCACAUAAAAGGAGGAAAACGGCAUCGCCUGAUCUCGCUGCUUUCUCUUCCUUAACUCCGUCUGCUCCAGAAGUUCUGUGCGUCCAUGAAUCCACCACAGACUACUCAGUAAAUAUACCACUUUAUGGUUAAAGGAA